AUAAGCUCGGGCAACAACACACGGAAUUAGCUGACGCAGGUGACCUACCGAUUCAGCUCAGGCAAUCUCCUUGACGACUCCACUACCACCCAUCUCUACACAACACCUACAUCACCUCACUGAACAUCUGCAUACAGACCCAAAUGGGAAAUAAGACAUGCCCCCAAAUCAAGUUCCCAGUUCUUAAGAUAAUACAUACAGAAAAUCAAAUGAUUUAACCACACCUGAUGUAUCCCGUGGUGGUUGCUUCUCUCUCACUUCCAGGUUGUUUAGCAUGAUAAGAAUUAGUGCUGACAAACUGAAGGACUAGAAGGUAUACAAUCAAAAGGGGAACAGAAUGUAUAGCCAGCGGCUAGAUCGAGGAUUUCAUUUUGGGGGAUCGGCGAGUGGAGAGAGGGAGAGGCGUCGACGCCACGCGUGGGAUUGGAACUAGCGGCGACUCGGCGUCGCACCCCGGCGGAUUUCUGGAUCAAUCUUCCCCAUGGAUGAGACGAU
This 495-nucleotide long non-coding RNA is filed under the name Triticum aestivum (bread wheat). Its description in RNAcentral is "long non-coding RNA (TAES_LNC016009)". Lineage: Eukaryota; Viridiplantae; Streptophyta; Magnoliopsida; Poales; Poaceae. The record is from RNAcentral.